Acanthosepion pharaonis is the source of this 112-nucleotide non-coding RNA. The record is from the annotation of a GenBank genome assembly. NCBI's taxonomy places the organism in Eukaryota, Metazoa, Mollusca, Cephalopoda, Sepiida, Sepiidae.
ACAACCAUAUUACCAUAAAGCAUCGGUUCUCGUACGAUCUCCGAAGGUAAGCAACCUCGAACCUGGUCAGUAACUAGAUGGGUGACCGAUUGGGAAUAAAAGGUGCUGUAAG